RNAcentral lists this transfer RNA (75 nucleotides) under Neotoma lepida (desert woodrat). It matches the Rfam family "tRNA". Rfam says of the family: Transfer RNA (tRNA) molecules are approximately 80 nucleotides in length. Their secondary structure includes four short double-helical elements and three loops (D, anti-codon, and T loops). Lineage: Eukaryota; Metazoa; Chordata; Mammalia; Rodentia; Cricetidae. The record is from Rfam by way of RNAcentral.
GGCGGGGUAGCUCAGUUGGUUAUGAGCGUAGUGCUAAUAACGCUAAGAGGGCGGGUUCGAUCCCCGUUCGGGCCA